Non-coding RNA from Schizosaccharomyces pombe (fission yeast), 228 nucleotides. Lineage: Eukaryota; Fungi; Ascomycota; Schizosaccharomycetes; Schizosaccharomycetales; Schizosaccharomycetaceae. The record is from the annotation of a GenBank genome assembly.
AUGUGUUAGACAUAAAAAACAAAGAAAUGAUACGGUAGACAUACGUUGCUAGUUUUUCGCAAAGAAAGUGAUGAAUGCCAAUAUUGUUAGGAUAGCGUGAAAGAUAUGCAACACAAAGUUGACUCGUGAAAUGGGCAGACUCAAAGAAUCUUAAAAGUAACUCCUAGAAAUAGCGUUAAUUACGCAGCUAACACAACGAUCAAAAGUCAUACAUUUCCCGAAUUCGAA